UUGGGCUAGACCGGGAUGCUUGGCGUAUCCUUGUAUACCGAAACCGUCAAUACGCGGAGGUGACAGCCGGGGACGGGGUCUAUGGAAAGUGCGAGCCCACUGAGUGACAAUGAGAUCCUGUCUUGCGGGGUCGGCGUUUAUGUCCGAAACGGCCGGAGGGUCGUCAGGGGCAUAUCAAUCGCGGGAACCGGGUCAGGUCCUGACGGGAGCAGCCUUACCGUGAGCUACUGACGCUCGCAGGGAAGCGGGGUCGAGGAAUGAUGUGACAAACUCGCACUGGAAGUUACUUCAA
Molecule: signal recognition particle RNA, 292 nt
Filed under: pig gut metagenome
Description: Archaeal signal recognition particle RNA
Rfam family: Archaeal signal recognition particle RNA
Source: RNAcentral